Molecule: unclassified non-coding RNA, 613 nt
Filed under: Fomitiporia torreyae
Lineage: Eukaryota; Fungi; Basidiomycota; Agaricomycetes; Hymenochaetales; Hymenochaetaceae
Description: partial contains ITS1, 5.8S rRNA and ITS2
Rfam family: 5.8S ribosomal RNA (bases 258-411)
Source: RNAcentral
ACAUAUGUGCUCGCCUUCACACUCUUCAUCCACUCAACCCCUGUGCACUUUAUCAGAGUUAGUAAUAGUAUUGUGGUGGCGGCCAUUUGUUGUUAUUCAUUGUUAGAAGCGGGGGUAACCCUGUCUGGCAAUAGUAAUGAUAAUAAUCUUGGUUCUACUACUACUACUACUAUGAACACUUUGACUUUUAUUUAUACAAACACUUUGCUUGUUCUUGUGAAUGUGUAAUGCUCCUUGUGAGCGAAAUACAAAUAUACAACUUUCAACAACGGAUCUCUUGGCUCUCGCAUCGAUGAAGAACGCAGCGAAAUGCGAUAAGUAAUGUGAAUUGCAGAAUUCAGUGAAUCAUCGAAUCUUUGAACGCACCUUGCGCCCCUUGGUAUUCCGAGGGGCAUGCCUGUUUGAGUGUCAUGUAAUUCUCAAUCCUCUUCUUCUUAACUGAAGAAAAAGAGGCUUGGACUUGGAGGUAUACACAAGCUGGUACUGUUUGGUAUCGGCUCCUCUCAAAUACAUUAGCUGGACUGUAGUUCGCAUUGUUUGGUGUAAUAGUUCUAUCUUAUUUCACUACAGUGCUUACUUAGACGGGUCUGCUUCCAAUAGUCCGCCUAUGUGU